This 830-nucleotide ribosomal RNA is filed under the name Candida albicans. RNAcentral's name for it is "partial large subunit ribosomal RNA". It matches the Rfam family "Eukaryotic large subunit ribosomal RNA", at positions 68 to 915 of the family's 3401-position model. Lineage: Eukaryota; Fungi; Ascomycota; Pichiomycetes; Serinales; Debaryomycetaceae. The record is from RNAcentral.
ACAGGGAUUGCCUCAGUAGCGGCGAGUGAAGCGGCAAAAGCUCAAAUUUGAAAUCUGGCGUCUUUGGCGUCCGAGUUGUAAUUUGAAGAAGGUAUCUUUGGGCCCGGCUCUUGUCUAUGUUCCUUGGAACAGGACGUCACAGAGGGUGAGAAUCCCGUGCGAUGAGAUGACCCGGGUCUGUGUAAAGUUCCUUCGACGAGUCGAGUUGUUUGGGAAUGCAGCUCUAAGUGGGUGGUAAAUUCCAUCUAAAGCUAAAUAUUGGCGAGAGACCGAUAGCGAACAAGUACAGUGAUGGAAAGAUGAAAAGAACUUUGAAAAGAGAGUGAAAAAGUACGUGAAAUUGUUGAAAGGGAAGGGCUUGAGAUCAGACUUGGUAUUUUGCAUGCUGCUCUCUCGGGGGCGGCCGCUGCGGUUUACCGGGCCAGCAUCGGUUUGGAGCGGCAGGAUAAUGGCGGAGGAAUGUGGCACGGCUUCUGCUGUGUGUUAUAGCCUCUGACGAUGCUGCCAGCCUAGACCGAGGACUGCGGUUUUUAACCUAGGAUGUUGGCAUAAUGAUCUUAAGUCGCCCGUCUUGAAACACGGACCAAGGAGUCUAACGUCUAUGCGAGUGUUUGGGUGUAAAACCCGUACGCGUAAUGAAAGUGAACGAAGGUGGGGGCCCAUUAGGGUGCACCAUCGACCGAUCCUGAUGUGUUCGGAUGGAUUUGAGUAAGAGCAUAGCUGUUGGGACCCGAAAGAUGGUGAACUAUGCCUGAAUAGGGUGAAGCCAGAGGAAACUCUGGUGGAGGCUCGUAGCGGUUCUGACGUGCAAAUCGAUCGUCGAAUUUGGG